This 264-nucleotide ribosomal RNA is filed under the name uncultured bacterium. RNAcentral describes it as "partial 16S ribosomal RNA". It matches the Rfam family "Bacterial small subunit ribosomal RNA", at positions 793 to 1055 of the family's 1533-position model. The record is from RNAcentral.
GUCCACGCCGUAAACUAUGGAUGCUAGCCGUCGGAUAGCUUGCUAUUCGGUGGCGCAGCUAACGCAUUAAGCAUCCCGCCUGGGGAGUACGGCCGCAAGGUUAAAACUCAAAGGAAUUGACGGGGGCCCGCACAAGCGGUGGAGCAUGUGGUUUAAUUCGACGCAACGCGAAGAACCUUACCAGCCCUUGACAUGUCCGGACGGUUUCCAGAGAUGGAUUCCUCCUAGCAAUAGGUCGGAACACAGGUGCUGCAUGGCUGUCGU